UGUUAGUUCAUUUAGACAGCAGGACGGUGGUCAUGGAAGUCGAAAUCCGCUAAGGAGUGUGUAACAACUCACCUGCCGAAUGAACUAGCCCUGAAAAUGGAUGGCGCUAAAGCGAAUGACCGAAGCUCAGCCAUUUGCGUAAAUGCGAUGCGCAAAUGAGUAGCAGGGCGUGGAGGUCUCUUAUGAUCAGUCGCUUGCGAUUGAUUGAGGUAACGAAGCUUGAGGCGUGAGCCUGAGUGAAACGGCCUCUAGUGCAGAUCUUGGUGUUAGUAGCAAAUAUUCAAAUGAGAACUUUGAAGACUGAAGUGGAGAAAGGUUCCAUGUGAACAGCAUUUGGACAUGGGUUAGUCGAUCCUAAGAGAUGGGGAAGCCUUGUAUCAAGGGUGCACUCUGCACGAGCAUCGAAAGGGAAUCGGGUUAAUAUUCCCGAACCUGGUAGUGGAGAUUGGGCCCUCGGGCCCCAGUGCGGUAACGCAACCGAACUCGGAGACGCCAGCGUCGAUCCCGGGAAGAGUUCUCUUUUCUUUGUUAGGAGCGGACUCCCUGGAAUUGGCUUGUCCAGAGAUAGGGACGUUGCAUCCGUAAAGCGUCGCGCCUCACGCGGCGUCCGGUGCAUCGGCGUUGGCCCUUGAAAAUCCGAGGGAGGCAGUGUGAUUUUCACUCCAGGCCGUACCCGAAUCCGCAGCAGGUCUCCAAGGUGAACAGCCUCUGGUCGAUAGAACAAUGUAGGUAAGGGAAGUCGGCAAAUCCGAUCCGUAACUUCGGGACAAGGAUUGGCUCUGAGGUGCGGGCUGCUUCGGGUCGCGGCAAGAAGCGGACCGCGCGUCGGUAGGACUGGGCGCGCGAGCGCUCGGACCGCCGCCGGCGUGCGUCCGUGGGAGGCCGUGGCUUUCGCCGGCGCUGGUCCUCGGGCCGGCGUCGGCUUCGUUCGGCCUAAACGCACAGCACAGAACUGGCACGGACUCUGGGAACACGACUGUCUAAUUAAAACAAAGCAUCGCGAUGGCCGCUGGCCGGUGUUGACGCGAUGUGAUUUCUGCCCAGUGCUUUGAAUGUCAAAGUGAAGAAAUUCAACCAAGCGCAGGUAAACGGCGGGAGUAACUAUGACUCUCUUAAGGUAGCCAAAUGCCUCGUCAU
Molecule: ribosomal RNA, 1137 nt
Filed under: Patsyella acanthodes
Lineage: Eukaryota; Metazoa; Bryozoa; Gymnolaemata; Cheilostomatida; Chaperiidae
Description: partial large subunit ribosomal RNA
Rfam family: Eukaryotic large subunit ribosomal RNA
Source: RNAcentral